CACUACCUAUAGCAACCUUGCCUAUUGACUCAGGGAUUUUUAACUUCUAAUCAUGCUAUACUUCCAGUCGAGUUGAUAAACUAAUUUAAUUCUGUACCCUCCUAGUCACCUGGCUCCUGGUCCCUCAGCAUCCUCCCUCUGCAUUGCUCAGGCUUUUGUGAUGCCCUGACUGCUGGAAUUUCCCUCUGGUUGCUAACAACACGCAGGCCAAAGCUGCCAGCAAGGCACUAAAUUCACCCCAAAGGAUGAUCAUUUUAGAGCUGUUUGCUUCAGUAAUCCAGUAUCACUUGUUCUGGGGAAGUGACAGCCACUCAGACAUAAGAAGUAUAUUCUCCGUAAGGUGCAAAAAAAGCAACACUUUCAGAAGCAUAUAAUGCCAGAAUGGAAAGAAGAUCUGGGCAGAAGAGUCUUAGGAGUCACGAUCCCACACUGCAUUGCCAGUUUGACUACUGAUUUACUUGUACCUUGAGAAAGCAGCUCAACAUCUCUGUGCGGAUGCACUUGACACUUGAUAAAAAAAGGUAACCAAAAAUAUUUCCUAACCAUGAAUUUUACAGUUGUGUAU
Ficedula albicollis (Collared flycatcher) is the source of this 565-nucleotide long non-coding RNA. RefSeq lists it as uncharacterized. The transcript has 3 exons. Lineage: Eukaryota; Metazoa; Chordata; Aves; Passeriformes; Muscicapidae. The record is from RefSeq and is a predicted model, not a curated record.